AAAUAAUUAAUUUUAUUUAGAAACUUUUUCUUCUGACAAAAGUUUUCUAUGGUACUUUCCUGGACAUAAAAUUAAUAGUAAUAAUGACUUUUACAUGGCCAGUACAUUUAAAAAAUAGCAGAAAAAGCAAAUAAUAACAUGACCUGGCAAUGGUUAAUAGCAGGGAAAUUGAAGAAAGAGACAGGAGGGUUAAGGCACAAGAUAAUAUCUUACAAACAAGUGCAUACAAAGCCAGAAGUGGAAAGACAGCAAGUGUCGCAUUUGCAAAGAAGCUGAAGAAAUAAUGGACUCUGGUUAGCUGCUGCAAGAAGAUCACACAGAUUGGCUACAAGCAAUGGCAUGAUAAAGUAGCAACAAUGGUGAUCUGAAAGAAAUACCAUUUGCCUGCAAGCAAGAAUUGCAAGAAUCAUCUUUGCACAAAAUUGGAAAUCGGAAGAAAUCCCAACACAAGACAGAAUAAUAUCGAAAAUAAUGGAAUGUGCCGAGAUGGACAAACUCACUAAAGAAAUCCAAGGAAAGGAAGAAUCAGACUACUAUCUGGUUUGGCAAAAGUGGUAUCAAUGGCUGGAGAAAAGGAAAACCAAACAAAAAGAUGAUCCUAAAAGACUUGAACCAAAUCCUGUACCAAAUGAGACACAACAGAGUACAACGAAACCUUAAUAAAAUAAUAUCGUUAUAUAAGGUGA
Molecule: long non-coding RNA, 686 nt
Organism: Pantherophis guttatus
Lineage: Eukaryota; Metazoa; Chordata; Lepidosauria; Squamata; Colubridae
Source: RefSeq, a predicted model, not a curated record